UACGAAGGGGGCUAGCGUUGCUCGGAUUUAUUGGGCGUAAAGAGCGUGUAGGCGGCCAGGUAGGUCUGCUGUGAAAACUCGAGGCUCAACCUCGAGACGUCGGCGGAAACCAUCUGGCUAGAGUCCGGAAGAGGAGAGUGGAAUUCCUGGUGUAGCGGUGAAAUGCGCAGAUAUCAGGAAGAACACCCGUGGCGAAGGCGGCUCUCUGGGACGGUACUGACGCUGAGACGCGAAAGCGUGGGGAGCGAACAGG
RNAcentral lists this ribosomal RNA (253 nucleotides) under uncultured bacterium. Its description in RNAcentral is "partial 16S ribosomal RNA". It matches the Rfam family "Bacterial small subunit ribosomal RNA", at positions 524 to 776 of the family's 1533-position model. The record is from RNAcentral.